RNAcentral lists this unclassified non-coding RNA (1781 nucleotides) under Hevea brasiliensis (rubber tree). Lineage: Eukaryota; Viridiplantae; Streptophyta; Magnoliopsida; Malpighiales; Euphorbiaceae. The record is from RNAcentral.
GCUCAUCCCUCCCUGAUCUUCUCUUCGCAUGUCCCUCUCCAUCCUUCUUUCUUUUCUUCUCUAGCCAGAGCUUCCCAACAUCGGUGUAGUCCCUUCAUCAACCCAGAUGACAACCGGCACCCAACAGAGGUGGCAUGAGGUGAUUGGACCAGCGAGACCAUGAGGAAGGAAAAGGUACCGGCACAGCUACUUCGGGGGCCAUUUUCGGCCACUGCAACGCCAGCUUGGCUAGAUCUCGGCAACGCUCAACUUGGCAUGACGUGGGCUCCUUUUUCGGCCACUGGUGUCCCGCUUCAUGGCCGUUUCGGCCGGACAAGAGGAGAGAAAAAUAACGCGCUUUCCCUCCGACAACCCGGACGAUCGGAUCAGGAGAUCCUAACCAACGUCUCGAGGGCUUCGAUUUGGGAGCAACCUUGCGUCGAUAGGACACUGAACUUAGAAUGCCAAUAGCUUAAACUUAAACGACCAAUAUCAGACAAUUAGAGAAGAAUCUCGAUUAACUGUCUUUGGAUUCGUGAACAGCGACUCUCGGGUAUCUUGAUGUGAACUUGGAUUGGUGAUCACUUAACGGCAUCCAGAACUAGCUUUCCGGCUAAAUCAAAGAGCCCUGCGGAUCAUUCCGGAAAACAGUAAUCAUUAUAGUCAUUCCUAGCAUUUUGGGAUGCACUACACGUGGUAAGUCUUAACUCAACUUGUGUGGUUUGUUAAUCAAUUAAAUACUCAUGGCUUAAUGAGCAUAAUUAAAAUAAAUUAUUUAAGCUUGAGAAUUGGACUUUGAUUGGAUCAUAUGGCACUGUGAUAUUAUUAUGAGCCCAAGGUCAUGUUGUUGAGUUUUCUUUAUAGUUAUAUAAUGGUCAGUGUCUAACAAAGUUAGUGUGUCUAUUUAGGUGAUUAGAUUAGUUGUUUCACCAAUUCUAGCCAAAUCAGCAGAAAUGAAGUCAAUCAGUUACUUUAGUUAUUUUUAAAUAAAUAUUUAAAUUAUUUUAUUUUAUUUUAUGUACAAUCAUGGUAUUUUACAAUUUUUUUUUUUUUAAGAUGUUGGGAUCUAAGUUUGAGGAUGAAGUUGUUUAGAGCUAGGAAAGUAGACAUGGCUUCGCUUGUAUAAAGUAUUUCUAUUUGUAAUUCUGGAUGGAGUUGUGCUGAUUUACAAAGAGAUCUUAAGAGUUAAUAGGCAUAUGCGAGGACUUUAAAUGAAGUCUUAAUUUCUAUAGGACAUUUUUCCUUUUCUUUAAGUAUUUCCAAUGUUUACCUUGUUUUGCUUUUGUUUCCUCCCAUCAUCCUGAAAUGUGCUAUCGAAUAACAUGUGCAAGACAAUUUUGAAUGUACGACCUUGAAUAUUGAAAGGAAGGCAUAUAUUAAAUUCAAGUACAAAGCUAUAUAUUGCAAUUUAAUCAUCUUAUCGAAUUAGUGGGUGGAGGUUUGCUUCCUUUCUUGUUCAGGCCUUCUGUGCUUCUCCUGGGGCUUUCAUACUCUAGCUUUCCUAUAAUAUAAAAAUGUUGAUCAUUCUUUAUUUUCCUUCAGACCAUAACUUGUGAAAAGCAAUCAUAUUGAUGUAUGGAUGUUGAGUAAAACAAUAGUUGUUCAAAAGGGUAUGAUUGUUACUUUUGGCUGCUAUUGCUUUUGGGUUACUUGUCCAAGAUUAAUAUAGAAUUUGUUCUGUAAUUCGUGACAAUUUGUAGCUUCUUGUUAAGGCAUGCCAACUCAGUUUCUAGUGGACUACACUGACUUUUUAAGGGGAAAAUUUAUCAUUAAGGGAGAAAGGAAAGGAAAGGAGAAAAGAU